CUAAAACUCAACAUCUCUUUGUACAAUUCUUCUGCUAAGAUGUUCUUCCUCUAAAUCGAUGUCACCCAUCUAGGCCAUGAUUUGCAACUUCCAACAAAAGCUUGCUCGCAUCUCGACUCUAAGCACUCACUCACGUAGUCGAAUAAAACCUUCCUAUCAAGCUUAGAGUACUCUUCUCCUCAGUAUGUUGUUGUUCCAGUACUGUGAUUCUCCAACAGAUCGAAGAGAUUUGGCAUUAUGAUUGUGUUAGUUCGACCCAUGAGGAAUUCUUCUGCCAUGAACUCUGCAUUGCCGAGUAUGUUCUGUACAUAGUCAAGUUCCAUAAUGCCUGAUCUUUUAAAAUCUACCAUGUUCGGUGAUCUGAUUAUUUGUGUGACAGACAUGUUACGUGCAGUAGAUACGGAAGAGCUUUGCUCUAACGACGUCGCUUCAUUUUCAAGUGAUUCAGAUCCGUUUAUCUGGGAAAUGUUAGAUACUUCCUCAUCUUGCAUGGAUGAAUAAAUCGUGCUGCCAUAUGUACUAUCUUCACUAUCCAUGUAACUUUCACUAACAGAAGGACCUUGAAAGUUUGUAUCAGCAUUGGAAUACUGAAAACCAAGACCAUUUCCACUUUCAUCGUUGCUACUAUAGCUAGGAUCUUCUCUUACUUCCGAUGUCUGUAGUUGUUGAUUCGUGUUAAGCACUAGCUCGUCAAUUGAAUAAUAUCGAUAGUUAUGCAUUCUAUCAAGUUCAUCACUGAACAUUUCAUCUUGUUCCUUAUCUAUGGUGUUUACGAUACUGGAUGCUUUAUCUUACAAACUAGAUCUCAAAUCAGUAGAUGGCUCCUCCGAGGCUAGGGUACAUUGAGGUAAGUUAAGUCUCGGUGUUAAUUCUUGAAGCUUUUACUCCAACAGAACACUCAAUGUAUCACUAUCUAUCAUAUGUGUCGGAGAUAGUGAUAAUUUUUUGGGAUGAAGAUUAUCAUUGUGCCCGAGAGAGUCGACACCAGAUCUAGUUCUGGUUUUCGUCACCUAGUCAGAGGAUAGUGACUCCGGCAUGCUUUUCCUCAAGGGAGAUGUAAAUGUAAAUGAAAUAACAUCACUGCUUUCGUUCAUGUUAAAUGCAUUCUGAUCAAUACUUCCAUCAGUCGUAUAAUUGCAUUUUAUGGACUUGCUUUCGAAAUCGCUUUUUGCAUGAUCGGGACUUCUUGCCUCGUGAAAACCUUCGUUGUUAUACUUUUUCUCUUGGGAAAUACUUUGUGUUUUGGAUGGAGGAAACUCCUUUCGGUUAUCAGUUACCCUAGAGCCUGACCUUUUAGGAGGAAUAUUGACAUUCGUAGCACUCUUGUUUGUUGCCUUCCUAAUUCCGGUAGAACUUUCAGAAGAAGAACCUCGCGUUGUUGGCUUGUUUGAAUCUAUUUUUGAGGCUGAUUUACCUUUGGAAAUCAUGCCGUUUUGCUUUUGAUUAUUCUGAAUCAGCACAUUGCUGUUACGACUUGCAUUCGUUUUCUGCGGCAAUGCUCGGUUUAUAAUUGGUUUUUGGCUUUGAUAGUGACCAUUGUGAUUUGGUUUAAUUUUUGUAGGGCCACAGUUGUGUUUGCUGUAGUGACCAUGCCGCUGGACUAACCAGUUGUACCAGCAUUUGCCGUUUGAGUUUGGGUCUUUUCUCGGGAUAGAAACCAG
This 1661-nucleotide long non-coding RNA is filed under the name Lathyrus oleraceus (garden pea). RNAcentral's name for it is "Pisum sativum (pea) long non-coding RNA (PSAT_LNC041761)". The record is from RNAcentral. Lineage: Eukaryota; Viridiplantae; Streptophyta; Magnoliopsida; Fabales; Fabaceae.